GGAAAGCCAUUUCCAUUUCCUCAAUAAAACACGCUAUAAGUUAAGAGUUAACAAACGAUAGCUACAAUACAUUAACUAGCUAAGACCAGACAAGAUACUCUCUAACUACAAUGUGAAUAUCAGGCUACAACAUGUACAAAUUCUGUUUAAGAAUACAAUUAAAUUUCCUUCUUUCUGACACUGUUCAGGACAUCAAGCUAGAGAAGCUCUGGGGUUCUUCGGAUAUUUCCCCAAAAUAUCCAAGACUCUUACUCGGUGCGCCUCUUUUGCUUCCUCCAAGGCAAGCCGUAUGGACCUCUUCUCCAGUUCAACAGCAUGAUUGCUUAGGUCAACAGAGGAGAGAGAACGAAGCAUCUGUACAUAAUCCUCUUGCUUUGAGUGCUCCAGUCUGUGCAACAAGUUCUGCAAUUGGAAAUACCGCUCUUCCCAAUGCUUAAAAUUAACCUUCUUGGGAUUAUCCAACAAUAGUCUGGUAGACGUGACUUGAUGGUUGCUAACAUUAAC
Molecule: unclassified non-coding RNA, 504 nt
Filed under: Hevea brasiliensis (rubber tree)
Lineage: Eukaryota; Viridiplantae; Streptophyta; Magnoliopsida; Malpighiales; Euphorbiaceae
Source: RNAcentral